Molecule: ribosomal RNA, 292 nt
Filed under: uncultured bacterium
Lineage: Bacteria
Description: partial 16S ribosomal RNA
Rfam family: Bacterial small subunit ribosomal RNA
Source: RNAcentral
GUGUCAGCAGCCGCGGUAAUACGUAGGGGGCUAGCGUUGUCCGGAUUUAUUGGGCGUAAAGCGCGUGUAGGCGGCCAGGUAGGUCUGCUGUGAAAACCCGAGGCUUAACCUCGGGGCGCCGGCGGAAACCAUCUGGCUAGAGUCCGGAAGAGGAGAGUGGAAUUCCUGGUGUAGCGGUGAAAUGCGCAGAUAUCAGGAAGAACACCCGUGGCGAAGGCGGCUCUCUGGGACGGUACUGACGCUGAGACGCGAAAGCGUGGGGAGCGAACAGGAUUAGAUACCCCCGUAGUCC